UCUAUCAGAAAACAAUUGUCCGUCCUAACACUCUGAUAUCUGAAACAGGAUCUCUGACUCACUAGCGAGGGAGAGAGGUGUCACUCCUGGAACAGGUGAGAGGGAGACCAACAGCCCCCUGUUUCGAUGUGACAGUCUGCAAGACCCCAGCCACCUUGAAGAGGGGAAGAAGAGAUAUUGAAGGAGAAAUUAAGCUGUUUCAUGGAUGAACUGGAAGAAGUCACUUAGGCCAGCGUUAACAUAAACAUCUCCUGGACCCUCUCCAAUGCCAGUACAUCCCUUCUUAGAUAAGGGGCCCAAAGGUUACGGUCCCGGAUUGCAAGGCAUCUGACCACAAAAUCCUACAAAGGAUUGCGAGGACAACUGAGAGGAUCAUCGGGGUUUCUCUUCCAUCUCUGAGAUACUUACCAGGAAUGCUGGACACACAGGCCCUUAGCAUUGGCGAGGAUCCUUCCCAUCCAUCCCACAACCUCUUUCAGCCCCUACCAUCAGGCCAGAGAACCUUUGGAUCACAAACCCAUCAGGAUCCAACAACCGGAAUGAAAAAUGAUUCAAGAUUCAAGAUUGUUUAACGUCAUUUCCAGUACACAAGUGUAAAGAGGACAGAAUAAUUGCAAUUUCAGCAGCAUCUUCUUAAAAGAAAUUUACUUUCCAGGUGCCGGUCAUGUUGCUGCAGGCAAGCUUUUCCAGGGGACCUGUAGCUCUCCGUACUUCAGCACGAGGCCAUGAACUCGAGUGGGUUCGUUCCUUUGCUUCAGUGAGGGAGAUGAUAGGUUGCACUUUAAUGUAGCAACUUCGUCUGCUAACGGCAGAAAGACUCGCUGUGUGACAUCGGCUAGACAGUCGGCAUCAGGCGAAGAAAAUCCACACAAAGGAACGCUUGUGCUUGGAGUAAAUUAUUAUUAUGAUCUAUCGUAUGCAAAACAGCAUUUAUGUGCAAUAUUCGUAUAAAAAGUGCAUGCAAACGGUUUAAUUUCUAGGCCAAAUACUGUGUGUCAGAACAGAAUUGCACAGUUGGAAGCAGUCUUAAAUCAUUUUCAUAGAACUUGAAGUUGCUUCAGGAUAUUUUGCUUCAUUAUCUUUCGGGCAUAUUUAAAGUGGAGGCCGAUAGGUUCUUGAUUGGUCAGGGUGACAAAAAUAGUGAGAUGAAGACACCAACAGAGAAGUCUGUUGUCACCAGUACAAUCUUCUAUGUGGUUUAGAAUCUCAGAGAACAAUGGCAACCA
Molecule: long non-coding RNA, 1226 nt
Organism: Hypanus sabinus (Atlantic stingray)
Lineage: Eukaryota; Metazoa; Chordata; Chondrichthyes; Myliobatiformes; Dasyatidae
Exons: 4
Source: RefSeq, a predicted model, not a curated record